RNAcentral lists this ribosomal RNA (626 nucleotides) under uncultured fungus. RNAcentral describes it as "eukaryotic LSU rRNA". It matches the Rfam family "Eukaryotic large subunit ribosomal RNA", at positions 24 to 664 of the family's 3401-position model. Lineage: Eukaryota; Fungi. The record is from RNAcentral.
CCCGCUGAACUUAAGCAUAUCAAUAAGCGGAGGAAAAGAAACUAACAAGGAUUCCCCUAGUAACUGCGAGUGAAGCGGGAAGAGCUCAAAUUUGAAAUCUGGCGGCUUCGCCGUCCGAGUUGUAUUCUGGAGAAGCGUUUUCCGUGCUGGACCGUGUACAAGUCCCUUGGAACAGGGCGUCGUAGAGGGUGAGAAUCCCGUCUUUGACACGGACUGCCAGUGCUCUGUGAUGCGCUCUCGAAGAGUCGAGUUGUUUGGGAAUGCAGCUCAAAAUGGGUGGUAAAUUCCAUCUAAAGCUAAAUAUUGGCGAGAGACCGAUAGCGAACAAGUACCGUGAGGGAAAGAUGAAAAGCACUUUGGAAAGAGAGUUAAACAGUACGUGAAAUUGUUGAAAGGGAAGCGCUUGCGACCAGACUUGCGCACCGUCGAUCAUCCGGUGGUCUCCCCGGUGCACUCGACUCUGCUCAGGCCAGCAUCGGUUCUGGUGGUUGGAUAAAGGCCUUGGGAAUGUAGCUCCCCUGGGGAGUGUUAUAGCCCUCGGUGCAAUGCAGCCCACCGGGACCGAGGACCGCGCUCCGGCUAGGAUGCUGGCGUAAUGGUUGCAAGCGACCCGUCUUGAAACACGG